ACAAAAGGUGCAAAAGAAAAUAAGAAAUUAGGUAUACGGUUUUUCCAUAUUAAAGAAGAAGCUGUAGAAAGAUAAGAUCCUGAAUUUCCUUUCAACAACACCCACUGUAAUCUACACACACACAUAUAGAUACAGAUUUCCGAUAACGGUUAAGGUAAUCUGGUGUUGACUCGUCGAUUUAGACGGGGUGUUGACUAGAUGGCUGAAGAACAGUUAGAUUAUGGAGAUGAGGAAUUUGGUGGGUCCCAAAAGACACGAUAUCAUGGUGAUGGAGCAAUUCCUGCACUUGCAGAUGAUGAAAUUGGUGGUGAAGAUGAUGAAUAUGAUGAUUUGUACAAUGACGUUAAUGUUGGUGAAAAUUUCCUACAAAUGCAACGGGCUGAGUCACUACCAUCCGUUAACGUUGGUAACGGAAAGUUCCAUGAUCAAAAACCGAAUUUCCCGGAAGCCCAGCCCGAAGCCCGACCCGAUUCUAUGGUGCCACAAGACAAAAACAUACCCGGUGUUGCAGCUGAAACUGGUUAUCCAACUACUGGCUUGAAUAAAGAAGGGUUGACUGUUGACCUUUCGCAAAAAAGAAUGGUUCCUGAAGCGAGUAACGAUGUGGGGUUUCACGUAACCCAAAAACCAAGUGAGCCCAUACCCAUCGGAAACGAGCAAGCGCCUAUGAUAAAUUCUAAUCCAGGUAACGGUCCAGGUGGCGUUCCUCCAAUGCCAGGUCAGCAGGUGGGUGCAAAUCAAGUUCGAACACCGGCGGAAAAUGGUGCCACGACUCUUUUUGUCGGAGAGUUACACUGGUGGACGACAGAUGCCGAGCUAGAAAACGUUUUAUCUCAUUAUGGAAGGGUGAAAGAAAUAAAGUUUUUUGAUGAACGGGCUAGUGGAAAGUCAAAGGGUUAUUGUCAAGUUGACUUUUAUGAUUCGGUUUCUGCUGCUGCUUGUAAAGACGGGAUGAAUGGUUACGUUUUCAAUGGUCGGCCUUGUGUGGUGGCUUUUGCUUCCCCACAAACUAUAAGGCAAAUGGGUGCUUCUUACGGUAAUAAAAAUCAAGGACCGGUUCAGUCUCAGGCAGACGCACCGGGGCGGAGACCGGUGAAUGAUGUGGCGGGAAGAGGCGGUGGGAAUAAUUUUUCCGGCGGAGAUGCAGGGCGGAAUUACGGGCGGGGUAAUUGGGGCCGAGGUGGAGGAGGAGGACAAGGGGUUAUGAAUCGUGGCGGCGGGAAUAUGAGAGGAAGAGGCGGGAUGGGGCCGAAGAAUGUGAACACCCCCGGGUUUGGAACCGGCGGCGGUUAUGGCGGCCCGGCUUUCGGUGGUCCCCCGGGUGGGUUCAUGCCGCCUCAGGGGAUGAUGGGUGGCGGUGGGUUUGAUCCGACAUAUAUGGGUCGCGGGGCGUACGGUGGUUUUCCGGGAACCGGUUUUCCCGGUAUGAUGCCGCAGUUUCCCGGGGUUAAUGCCAUGGGUUUACCUGGGGUGGCGCCACAUGUGAACCCGGCUUUUUUUAACCGAGGGAUGGGCGGCGGUGGUGGUGGGGGGAUGGGGAUGAUGGGGGGCGGUGGCGGCGGCAUGGAGGGACCACAAGCAGGAAUGUGGGGUGACACUGGUAUGGGAUGGGGUGGGGAAGACCACGGUCAAAGUCAAGGUCAAGGUCAAAGAACUCGAGAGUCAAGUUACGGUGGUGAAGACGGUGGUUCAGAACAUGGGUAUGGUGGUGGUGGUGGUGGUGAGGGUAGCCAUGAAAAAGUGACCACCACCCGCUCAAACCGAGAAAAAGAUCGUGAAUGGUCGGAAAAUUCCGAAAAAAGGCACCGUGGUGAGCGGGACCGGGACCCGAAGGAACACCGUGAUAGGUAUGAUAAAGAUUACAAAUACAAAGAAGAAAAGGACAGUUACCGGGACCGAGACCAUCACCGUCAAAAGGACCGCAACGCUGGUUACGAUGAUGAUUGGGACCGUGGUGCUCAGGGUUCGACACGGUCCAGGAGCCGGUCCCGAGCUAUGCCAGAAGACGACCGUCACCAUCGCCGAUCCCGGUCCAGGUCCCGAGAUGCGGAUUACGGUAAACGGAGGCGCAUGCGGUCAGAUUAACCGGUGGUCAACCAGUUCGUUUGACCAAUUCUUCAACUUGUUGCUGUUUGUCAUUAAACCAGUAUAUGCAAAAAUCAGCUUUGGGAUUUUAAAAGGAACAGUUAAUGACCUGGACGAAGCUGACUUGAUUCAUUGGAUUCUAUAAGUUAAAUUUUCCGUCAACUGCUGGUCUGCACCAGAAUUAGUUUAUUUUUUAUUUUUCGUGUGUAUCAUAUGUUGCGUUGUAACAUCAUCCCCACUGUGUCAUGCAGUCAUUAGUAUCUGAUUUGUUGUAUCGGGAAUCUGUUUAUGUUUUCUUAGAUUCUAGUAUCGGGUAUAUGCAACCCAUUUUAUAGUUGUAAUAUGCAGAGCAUGUAGGCCCGUGUUUUGUCGGUAAGCCCCAAAAUGGGGAUGUAAUGUGUAGAUCGUGUUAGUUUAGGCUUUCUUGUUGUUUCGGUUGCUGCUGUGUUUUAGAAGGGCUGCAAACGGAAAAGUUUUCUGCAUGCUUGUAUGCUGUUGUUUUCUAGCUGUACAUUGUAACAUAGUAUAGUCUUAACAGGACAGACAUUUUUGUACUAAACCUUUUGUACAGACAGGGUUAGAUUUUCUCAGAAUGUAUCCUAAUCCUAUGUGGUUUCAAUGUUU
This is an RNA transcript of Helianthus annuus (common sunflower), 2709 nucleotides long. It is a transcript of the gene named TATA-binding protein-associated factor 2N-like, with no coding region annotated. The transcript is spliced from 3 exons. The record is from RefSeq and is a predicted model, not a curated record. Lineage: Eukaryota; Viridiplantae; Streptophyta; Magnoliopsida; Asterales; Asteraceae.